Bubalus bubalis (water buffalo) is the source of this 1685-nucleotide long non-coding RNA. RefSeq lists it as uncharacterized. NCBI's taxonomy places the organism in Eukaryota, Metazoa, Chordata, Mammalia, Artiodactyla, Bovidae. The transcript is spliced from 2 exons. The record is from RefSeq and is a predicted model, not a curated record.
AUCAGGUGGCCAAAGUACUGGAGCUUCAGCAUCAGUCCUUCCAGUGAAUAUUCAGGGUUGAUUUCCUUCAGGAUGGACUGGUUGGAUCUCCUUGCAGUCCUCAGGACUCUCAAGAGUCUCCUCCCUCCAGGCGGGCCUGGGCUCUCAGGGCCAGUGCCGUGUCAGCAGCGCCCCCGCGGGUGGUCCUGUGGAGAGAGCAGCGUGAGCCCCUCUUGGGGGGACCAGGGGCCUGGAGGUUCCGUGUCCAGUUGCUUCAGUUUGGGGGUCUGAUUCCCUGUCCCCCAUGCCAGCAGCAGCUUGUGUCCACUUCUGGCCCACAGUCACCUGUGACGGUCCCUACGGUCCCGCCGAGGGGGCGGGAGGAGCCGCGAGUGAGGACCCCACGUGUCCUGUCACCAGAGCCGGGCCGCCUGCAUCUGGGGUUCCCAGGGCUCUGUAGACGCCGGCCAGACCCGGGGGAAGCUGUGUGUCUGCACAUAAGGUCCAGGCCGACGCGCCCUCCACACCUGUGGCUCCCUGUGGCGAUGCUGACCACCCCCCGCCCCCCCGCCCCGCCCCCGCCUGCCUUCCGUGUCUGGAGACCAUGGAGAUGAAACACCAGUUCACAGUUAUACCAAGAGACAGGCGAUGGGACAUGCUAGAAUGUCCAGGGACAGACACAGUAAAUUGUGGAAAUUUGUUUUUGGUUAAGAUGGCAUUUCACAUCAGCGGGGAACAGAGGAAUUACUCAGUAAGAAGUCAACAAUUGGGUGACCACCUGAGGGAAGAAGUAAACCAAAGUUGGAUAUAUGUCUCACAACCAGAUUUGAAGCUGAUCAGAGACUUCACAUAAAGACAUGGAAGCAUGGAUUAUUAGAGUAAACCAUGGGGCAGUUUUUUGUAGCCGCCUGUCCAGAAGGCUUUGCUAAGUUUGUUUCCAAACCCAGAAAAGGUUGAGAAAUGUAAAAGAUUGCUAAAUACAAAAAUGAAAUUUUCUGCAUGCCAUAAAAUAACCAUGAAGUUGAAAGACGUUUGGAAACAGGUGAAAUUCACAUGGAGGAUAAAAGGUCUAUUUCUUUUCUUGAAGAUACUUCCUCCAUAUCAAUAAGACAAGACUUUAAGGACCUGCAGCUCUGUAGAGCCAUGGUUAACUUCAGACGGUUUAAUGCAGAUGGUCCCUAACACUCGAGAUGUUCGAGCUCCCUCAGAACAGGAGAGACUCAGGUUAGAGAUGCAGUGAGGAGGUGCGUUUACGGUUAGCGCCACCGUGACCGUGGUCUGGCGGGCCCUCAGCAGCGCCUGAGCGAGGUGCUGGCAGUGGCCACCCAGGAUGUGCACGCGUGUCCUCGAGCAGGGCGUCACGCGUGGUCUGCCCCGUGUGUGUGUGUGUGAGCACGCGUGUCUUCGAGCAGGGCGUCACGCGUGGCUGCCCCGUGUGUGUGUGUGUGAGCACGCGUGUCCUCGAGCAGGGCGUCACGCGUGGUCUGCCCCGUGUGUGUGUGUGUGGGCACGCGUGUCUUCGAGCAGGGCGUCACGCGUGCCUGCCCCGUGUGUGUGUGUGUGGGCACGUGUGUCCUCGAGCAGGGCGUCACGCGUGGUCUGCCCCGUGUGUGUGUGUGUGGGCACGCGUGUCUUCGAGCAGGGCGUCACGCGUGGUCUGCCCCGUGUGUGUGUGUGUGUGAGCACGCGUGUCCUCGAGCAGGGUG